This 432-nucleotide non-coding RNA is filed under the name Onchocerca volvulus. RNAcentral's name for it is "Eukaryotic large subunit ribosomal RNA". It matches the Rfam family "Eukaryotic large subunit ribosomal RNA", at positions 850 to 1262 of the family's 3401-position model. The record is from Rfam by way of RNAcentral. Lineage: Eukaryota; Metazoa; Nematoda; Chromadorea; Rhabditida; Onchocercidae.
AUUGGUUGCCUGAAUGUGAAAUUAUUAAAAAUUUGAUCAUUUAUUAGAUUGCACGUCCGAAAUGAUUCUGACGUGCAAAUCGAUCGUCUCAAUUUGGUAUAGGGACGAAAGACUAAUCGAACAAUCUAAUAAUUGGUUUCUUCUGAAGUUUUGUUCAAGAGAGCUGGAAUGAAGCUGUUAUAUUCGGAAAAGCGAAUGAUUAGAGGAAUUGUGGGAUGAAACGUCUUCAACCUCUUUUCAAACUUUCAAUGAGUAUGACGUCUCGUUUGCUUAGGUGAAACGUAGACAUUGAACGUGUACUCCACGUGAACUAUUUCUGAUAAACAGAAAUGGCACGCUGUGAGAUGAAUCAAACAUUGAGUGAAAGUAUAAGUCUUCUGCUCAAGCGUCAUCCGUUUUCAGAGUUAGUUGAUGCAGAACAGUAUUUAAUUC